This 72-nucleotide transfer RNA is filed under the name Pangasius djambal. Its description in RNAcentral is "tRNA-Glu". It matches the Rfam family "tRNA". From Rfam's summary of the family: Transfer RNA (tRNA) molecules are approximately 80 nucleotides in length. The record is from RNAcentral. Lineage: Eukaryota; Metazoa; Chordata; Actinopteri; Siluriformes; Pangasiidae.
UCCCUGGUGGACUAGUGGUUAGGCCACAGCACUCUCACCGCUGUGGCCCGGGUUUGAUUGCUGGCAAGGGAA